UCAAGGAGCACCUGCCUUUCAUAAACCUGUGCUGGCUGGGCCUGAUCCCUUGGUUGUCCCAUGCAUGUAUGUGAUGGCACUCAAGAUGAUCUGCUUCAUGGUCUUCCCCAGCACUGAGGUCAUGCGGACAACCCUGUAGUUCCCCAGAUCUUCCUUCCAGUCCUUCUUGUAGAUGAAUACUACAUUUCCUAACUUCUGUGACCUCCCCAGUUAGCCAGGACUGCUGCUCGUGGGUGCUGGGUGCCUGAAGAACAACUGUCUUUAAUACUAAGACUGAAACAAAGGAGUCAUGAAGCACCCCAGUCUGUUCCUCAGCUUUCGACCCUAUGUCUCUCAUGCAGCCAAUAAAAGAUGGUGAUCAUCCUUA
Molecule: long non-coding RNA, 367 nt
Organism: Passer domesticus (house sparrow)
Lineage: Eukaryota; Metazoa; Chordata; Aves; Passeriformes; Passeridae
Exons: 2
Source: RefSeq, a predicted model, not a curated record